UUGAACGCUGGCGGCAUGCCUAACACAUGCAAGUCGAACGGCAGCACAGCAGUAGCAAUACUGUGGGUGGCGAGUGGCGGACGGGUGAGUAAUGCAUCGGGAUCUACCCAAACGUGGGGGAUAACGUAGGGAAACUUACGCUAAUACCGCAUACGUCCUACGGGAGAAAGCGGGGGACCGAAAGGCCUCGCGCGGUUGGACGAACCGAUGUGCGAUUAGCUAGUUGGUAGGGUAAUGGCCUACCAAGGCGACGAUCGCUAGCUG
RNAcentral lists this ribosomal RNA (264 nucleotides) under Dyella sp. ISO89_OTU5394. Its description in RNAcentral is "partial 16S ribosomal RNA". It matches the Rfam family "Bacterial small subunit ribosomal RNA", at positions 30 to 289 of the family's 1533-position model. Lineage: Bacteria; Pseudomonadati; Pseudomonadota; Gammaproteobacteria; Lysobacterales; Rhodanobacteraceae. The record is from RNAcentral.